UUUAUAUGAGAGUUUGAUCCUGGCUCAGGAUGAACGCUGGCGGCGUGCCUAAUACAUGCAAGUCGAACGAGUUCUCGUUGAUGAUCGGUGCUUGCACCGAGAUUCAACAUGGAACGAGUGGCGGACGGGUGAGUAACACGUGGGUAACCUGCCCUUAAGUGGGGGAUAACAUUUAGGAAACAGAUGCUAAUACCGCAUAGAUCCAAGAACCGCAUUGGUUCUUUCGGGCUUAGG
This 234-nucleotide ribosomal RNA is filed under the name Lacticaseibacillus paracasei. RNAcentral describes it as "Lactobacillus paracasei partial 16S ribosomal RNA". It matches the Rfam family "Bacterial small subunit ribosomal RNA", at positions 1 to 207 of the family's 1533-position model. The record is from RNAcentral. Lineage: Bacteria; Bacillati; Bacillota; Bacilli; Lactobacillales; Lactobacillaceae.